This is a long non-coding RNA of Hyposmocoma kahamanoa, 482 nucleotides long. RefSeq lists it as uncharacterized. The record is from RefSeq and is a predicted model, not a curated record. NCBI's taxonomy places the organism in Eukaryota, Metazoa, Arthropoda, Insecta, Lepidoptera, Cosmopterigidae. The transcript is spliced from 3 exons.
GUCGCCGAACGACUCAAUAUGUGCGAAGCGAGCAACGAGUUGCAAUCUGUUCGAUCGCCGUUCAUUCAUCUGUUGUCAGCUCCAGGCGUCGCCCGCCCACUGACUGAGAGCCAGACAUCGUCGUCUAUUUUGUCACAUAGUUGCCCCCCAGAGACACACAUGACAUGCCAUUCCCCGAGCCUUGCGUGCUGAUGCCAAACGGGAUCAAACAUUUAGCAAGGACACGGACGAAGUCCAUUUGAGCAGUGGACGGGCGACCAUCAAGAAAUUCGUCACUGAGACUCACAGGACCGCGUUUGAAUUCUGCAAACCUACCUACCUACAAAUAGUCGUCUUGCAUAGUGCUUCAUCGCAAAAACCUGUUUGAAACCAAGCGAAGCCUUGCUGAGCUGUUAAAUUACACUUAAAAUCGUAGAAAAUCAUAGUACGAAAAUUUUUACGAGUUAAAUCCAUGUUGAUGUAGAUAACCAAUUUCUAAAUGA